RNAcentral lists this ribosomal RNA (460 nucleotides) under uncultured bacterium. Its description in RNAcentral is "partial 16S ribosomal RNA". It matches the Rfam family "Bacterial small subunit ribosomal RNA", at positions 338 to 795 of the family's 1533-position model. The record is from RNAcentral.
CCUACGGGUGGCAGCAGUGAGGAAUAUUGGUCAAUGGGAGGGAUCCUGAACCAGCCAUGCCGCGUGCAGGACGACGGCUCUACGAGUUGUAAACUGCUUUUGUACCGGGGUAAAAUGCUCUACGAGUAGGGUUUUGAAAGUACGGUACGAAUAAGGAUCGGCUAACUCCGUGCCAGCAGCCGCGGUAAUACGGAGGAUCCGAGCGUUAUCCGGAUUCAUUGGGUUUAAAGGGAGCGUAGGCCGGAUGUCAAGCGUGCUGUGAAAUGUCCGGGCUCAACCCGGGCCUUGCAGCGCGAACUGGCGGGCUUGAGUCCGCGGAAAGCAGGCGGAAUUCGUCGUGUAGCGGUGAAAUGCUUAGAUAUGACGAAGAACCCCGAUUGCGAAGGCAGCUUGCUGCAGCGGAACUGACGCUGAUGCUCGAAAGCGCGGGUAUCGAACAGGAUUAGAUACCCCUGUAGUC